GCCUUCUUGGCCAAGCGGUAAGGCGUCGCACUCGUAUUGAAUUUAAGUACUAUAAGUAAUUAAUUCAUACAAGUUAUGCGAAGAUCGACGGUUCGAUUCCGUCAGGAGGCA
Molecule: transfer RNA, 111 nt
Rfam family: tRNA
About the family: Transfer RNA (tRNA) molecules are approximately 80 nucleotides in length. Their secondary structure includes four short double-helical elements and three loops (D, anti-codon, and T loops).